Molecule: ribosomal RNA, 253 nt
Filed under: uncultured bacterium
Lineage: Bacteria
Description: partial 16S ribosomal RNA
Rfam family: Bacterial small subunit ribosomal RNA
Source: RNAcentral
UACAGAGGGUGCGAGCGUUAAUCGGAAUUACUGGGCGUAAAGCGCACGUAGGUGGCGACGUAAGUCGGGUGUGAAAGCCCCGGGCUCAACCUGGGAAUUGCAAUCGAGACUGCAUUGCUGGAGUACGGAAGAGGAGGGCGGAAUUCCCGGUGUAGCGGUGAAAUGCGUAGAUAUCGGGAGGAACAUCAGUGGCGAAGGCGGCCCUCUGGUCCAGUACUGACACUCAAGUGCGAAAGCGUGGGGAGCAAACAGG